GGAGACGGAAACGCCCGAGCGAGUGCGUGUGAGCCGGGCCGCAGGGAGAUGGUGGCGCCUCGGUGCUCAUCCCUCAGCCUCCCCUCUCGACAACGCAGCCAAUCGACAUUUAGUUCUGCAGAGCCGCGGGGCGCGGGCGGCGUUGCAGGCUGGCAGCAGGGAGGGAGUGGCGGAAGGGAGAAGGGGGCGCACCUCCAGGAAGUGAUGGUUGCCAAGGAAUGCUUCAGGGCCAACGGCGUCACCGGCCGCCGCCUCAUCCACGCGAACUGCUCCAGCCUGCCCGCCAUGGGCGUCACGGACUUCGGCCACAUGCAGGAACUGAAAUUCCUCUAGAUAAGCAACAGACAGCCAGGACAGUGCCACAAGGAAGUGAGACUGUCUCAGUAAUGUUUUCCAAAGCUUGCAAAAUCCAAGUAUGCAGAGCUCUGCAGGAUGUGGCCCUUUCAGGAAGUGUCUACUAGAGGAGGAAAUUUCACGGCACGUGCGAGAGUUGCUGGGGAUUGAGGAGCCUCUCUUCAGCAGAUCCAUUGCCCUCCCAUACAGAGACAAUAUGGGUCUCUUCCUAGAGAGAAAGGCACCAACAGGAGAGAAAGCAGAUGCCCUCACUUUCUCACAGUUUAUCCAAAAAGCAGGACUGGAGCCCUAUACUACAGUUCCUUCUUUGCAAGAAUCCCAGACCAUGGUGGGAGUGGAUGCUCUCCCUGCAUCACAGGACAUGCAGAGGCAGAAUUAGAGACUCAUACUGCACUUCUGCCUUUGUAAGAAGCCCAGCAGCCACAGCAGACUGUACCCUUAUUACCUUGCAGAUUAUUCAAGGAGGUACAGUUCCACCUUUUCACAAUUACAAAAAUUGUGCAUUGCACUGCCA
RNA transcript from Vidua macroura (Pin-tailed whydah), 868 nucleotides. It is a transcript of the gene named sterile alpha motif domain containing 15, with no coding region annotated. Lineage: Eukaryota; Metazoa; Chordata; Aves; Passeriformes; Viduidae. The record is from RefSeq and is a predicted model, not a curated record. The transcript has 5 exons.